Long non-coding RNA from Eriocheir sinensis (Chinese mitten crab), 1238 nucleotides. RefSeq lists it as uncharacterized. Lineage: Eukaryota; Metazoa; Arthropoda; Malacostraca; Decapoda; Varunidae. The record is from RefSeq and is a predicted model, not a curated record. The transcript has 3 exons.
GGAAAGAAUUUAGCGUACAGAAUGUAGGGAACAGUAUUUUGUCCCAUGUACGCAGGAUUGUGUCUGUUCUGUAGUAGGUUUUGUUUCUUUUCACAGGAGCUGCCGUUACAAAGGCCUGACGGGGCGAGUCACCUGUGACAUCAAGAUCAAGCGGAGAAAGCUCCAAAAGGGGCAGCUGUGACCUGAAGGGCCUUGGCAGUGUUUCUCGCGGAGGAGGAGCCCCGCGGCGCCCAGGCACACGACUUUGUGUCCCGGCGGCCACCACUGGUGCUGGUGUUGAGUGAGGCCGUGGGACAGGUGCUGUGCUCAGCGCCUCCUCCGUACUCGCUGCCGCUGACUUCAGGACUCCUUGGUGCAUCCUACGCCUUGCCUGCUGGAUUGGUCCCUGAGUGUGGCUCUGUAGGAGCCUUGCCACCGCCUGCUCCAGCAUCUCUGAGGUUCCUGCAAGACCAGCCGACUCCUCCCACCUGGAGUAGUGUUGCAGUGGAGGCUGCAAGGCGGGGCAGCAGCUGGAGUGGCUGGGAGCAGCAGGAGCAGACUGCUACUGGUGUGAGGUUCAGGAGUGAUGAGAAACACCACCACCACCAACAACAACAGCCGCUACUGCUGGCAUCUCAUCCACAAAGGGGGAAGUUUGAAUUUCAGAAGUGUGAGAAGAUCUGAGAGUGAGAGCAAGUUUACUAGCCACAGCCAAGUGUGUGGGAAAAGACAUGCAGGGAAGGAUGACCUCAACAAAUACACCCACACACUCUGGUGUAAGACCUCAUGAAAGCCGGGAGAUCAGCAUCCAUUGGUGUGGGUUCUGCUCCGAGGACUUCCUGGGCCCGAGGGAGUGCAAGGAACAUAUAAGUAAGGUGAGGCUCUUCUCUCGCUCCAUUCCUCUCCUCCCAUCUCUUCUCACUUUCCUUCUUGCUCCUUUUAUCAGUUCCUCCCUUCCCACCUUUUCCUCUAAUAUCCACUUCCAUCCACUGUUCCCAUUUAUCUCUGUUCUCUUAUGUCCCUCCAUGCCUCUGCCUUUCCUUCCAUCUUCAUUCCUGUCUCCGUUUAUCACCUCCUCCCUUCCCUCAGUCUUGUGUCACUAUUUCCCAUUCAUCUUAGUUAGGUCACCUCUUUCCUUUCAUCCUUCCACACUACAAAAAAGGGAAAUUUAUCGCUGACAUUUAGGCUUCAUUCAAUUUUAUAUGAAGUAAUUUCCUCCAGUGGGCAGUGUUUUUGUUUAGCCUUAUUUAUGUCGCCUU